ACGACUCUUGGCAAUGGAUAUAUCAGCUCUCGCAUCGAUGAAGAACGUAGCAAAAUAUGAUACUUGCUGUGAAUUGCAGAAUCCCGUGAACCAUCGAGUCUUUGAAUGCAAGUUGCGCCCAAAGCCACUAGACCGAGGUCACGCCUACAUGGGUAUCACGCAUCGCGUCGCCCCCUCUCAUCGCCCAAACGCACGGCGGGGGUGGAAAGUGGUCCCCCAUGCACAGUGCCACACAGUCGGCCCAAAUGUGAUCCCCGGCGAAGCACCUCAUGACAAGUGGUGGUUGAACCCUCAACGCACUUUGUCCUGCACCACCGUGUCGGGACGCACGAUCAGACUCAAUGGCACGUGCGAGCAUGUCGCCUUCGCCGUUCGAAUUGUAGUCUGGAGAAGCAUUCUCAGCGAAUUGUCGCCUUAAGCAUAUCAAUAAGUGGAGGAAAAGAAACAUAAGAAUUCCUCUAGUAACAGCGAGCGAAAUGGGAAUAGCCCAAAUUGAGAAUCGGGUGGCCACGCCGUUCGAAUUGUAGUCUGGAGAAGCAUUCUUAGCGGCAGACCGGGGUCGAGUCCCCUGGAAUGGGGCACCAUAGAGGGUGAGAGCCCCGUUGCUCCUGGACCCUAUCGCACCAUGAGGCACUGUUGGCGAGUCAGGUUGUUUGGGAAUGCAGCCUCAAUCGGGCGGUAAAUUCCUUCCAAGGCCAAAUACGGACGAGAGACCGAUAGCGAACAAGUACCGCGAGGGAAAGAUGAAAAGGAAUUUGAAAAGAGAGUUAAAGAGUGCUUGAAAUUGUCAUGAGGGAAGCGGAUGGAGGAUGGUGAUGCAUCCCGGUCGGAUGUAGAAUGGUGAGAGCCAGUCCACUGAUCGACUCGGGGUGAGGACCAGCAUGGAUCGAUGCGGCGCUCAAAGCUCGAGCUGUUGAUAUGUUCAUUGUACAGCAUCACAUCGAUCCAGGCAGACAACGCACACCUGGUGCGUGCCUCGAUAACUGCGCGUUCUUGGUGCUGGCCUACGGGCUCCCUAUUCGACCCGUCUUGAAACAUGGACAAGGGAGUCUGACAUGUGUGCGAGUCAAUGGGCAAUUAAACCCGUAAGGUGCAAGGAAGCUGACCGGCGUGAUCCCCUCGAGGGGUGCACCGCCGAUCGACCUUGAUCUUCUAAGAAGGGUUCGAGUGAGCGUACCUGUCGGGACCCAAAAGAUGGUGAACUAUGCCUGAGCGGGGCGAAGCCAGAGGAAACUCUGGUGGAGGCACGCAGUGAUACUAACGUGCAAAUCGUUUAUCUGACUUGGGUAUAGAGGGAAAGACUAAUCAAACCGUAUAGAAGCUGAUUCCCUUUGAAGUUUCCCUCAGGAUAGCUAGAGCUCUAGUGUGAUUUCUAUCGGGUAAAGCCAAUGAUUAGAGGCAUCAGGGGUGCAACACCCUCGACCAAUUCUCAAACUUUAAAUAGGUAGGACGGCGCAGCUGCUCCGUUGAGCCACGCCAGAGAAUUUUGAGCUCCAAGAGGGCCAUUUUUGGUAAGCAGAACUAGCAAUACGGGAUGAACAGGAAGCCGAGUUACAGUGCCCAACUGCGCACUAACCUAGAUCCCACACAGAGUGUUGGUUGAUUAAGACAGCAAGACGGUGAUCAUGGAAGUCGAAAUCCGCUAAGGAGUGUGUAACAACUCACUUGCCAAAUCAACUAGCCCUGAAAAUGGAUGGCGCUGAAGUGCGUGACCUAUACCCGACCGUCGGGGCAAGGGCCAUGCCCCAAUGAGUAGGAGGAUACGACGGUCGCUUCAAAACCCUGGGUGUGAGCCCAGGCGAAGCAGCCGUCGGUGCGGAUCUUGGUGGUAGUAGCAAAUAUUCAAAUGAGAACUUUGAAGGCUGAAGAGGGGAAAGGUUCCAUGUGAAUAGCACUUGCACAUAGGUUAGUCGAUCCUAAGGGUCGGGGGAAGCCUGACAGACAGCGCGUUCAGCGCGUGCUCCGAAAGAGAAUCGGGUUAAAAUUCCUGAAUCGGGAUGCGAUGGUUGAUGGCAACGUUAGGGAGUCUGGAGACAUCGGCGGGGUGAAGAGUUAUCUUUUUUGUUUAACAGCCUGCCCACCCUGGAAACGGCUCAGCCAUAGAUAGGGUCCAGUGGCUGGAAGAGUACCGCACGUCGCAUGGUGUCCGGUGUGCCCCCGGUGGCCCUUGAAAAUCUGGAGGACCGAGUACCGUCCGCGCCCGAUCGUACUCAUAACCGCAUCAGGUCUCCAAGGUGAACAACCUCUGGUCGAUGGAACAAUGUAGGCAAGGGAAGUCGGAAAAAUAGAUCCAUAACCUCGGGAAAAUGAUUGGCUCUGAGGGCUGGGCACGGGGGUCCCAGUCCCAAACCCAUCGGCUGUCGGCGAGCUGCUCGUACGAUAAGAGCGGGUUAUCGCGUGCCGGCCGGGGAUGGACUGGGAACGGCUCCCUCGGGGGCCUUCCCCGAGCGUCGAACAGUCGACUCAGAACUGGUACGGAUAAGGGAAAUCCGACUGUUUAAUUAAAACAAAGCAUUGCGAUGGUUCCUACGGAUGCUCACGCAAUGCGAUAUCUGCCCAGUGCUCUGAAUGUCAAAGUGAAGAAAUUCAACCAAGCGCGGGUAAACGGCGGGAGUAACUAUGACUCUAUUAUGGUAGCUGAUGAGAGUGAAAAUAAGCGUGUUUUAAUAUCCAAUUUAACACCUUUUUGAUUGAUAUUGUAGUCUUAUACGAGCGCAAGUGUCUUAUAUUCUAUAUAUGUGAGAAUUAUGUGCACUUGAGGUGUUUUAUUGUGUUUUAGGUGGAAAAAGGAUGAAAAGUGCAAAGUUGGAGAAAAGGUGCAAUUUGUGCAAGAAUGCUGAAAACGCACAUCCAACUUUCAUAAUUAUUCUGAAUUGCUUUGGAGCUCGAAAAUGUUAUUGUGAUAUAUGUUGGAAAGCCACUGAAGCGUGGGUCAUUUUGGCGUAAAGAACACCAUCAUUGAAGUCCGAACGAGGAAGUUAUGAGCAAAGUCGUGACGCCGCGCGAGCUGUGCCGAAUAGAAUUACAGUGCUACUUUCCAUGGCCUGAUACAUAUUCAAUUCUUGGAGUUUUUAUGAUUUCUUAAUAUUGAUAGAAAGCCAAGGAAGAGAGGAUCGCGUGAGAGCAAAAAUCACUCAAUUCAGAGGUCGGAUGUGAAAGUUAUACGCGAAACGAUGAGACUUCCAGUAGGUGGGUUCGACCUGUGGUUCGACCUGCGGUCAAUGGUUUGACCUGUUUGCUGAGGUCGAACCAUCGUGCGGAAACUUACCAAAUCCGUAUUUUCAAGGCCUAAACGCGUGUGACCACUAGAAAAGCCAAUUCCAAGCCUAGGAGACAUGAUUAAAAGUAUAAAAGGAGGUCUAUACAGCCCUGAAAAGAGGAGGAACACAACACAAUACAAGAGAGGAGAAGAGAGGCCACAACAUACAACACCCCACAAGGGGGGAUC
This 3448-nucleotide ribosomal RNA is filed under the name Pogostemon cablin (patchouli). Its description in RNAcentral is "eukaryotic LSU rRNA". The stretch from base 394 to 3448 matches the Rfam family "Eukaryotic large subunit ribosomal RNA". The record is from RNAcentral. Lineage: Eukaryota; Viridiplantae; Streptophyta; Magnoliopsida; Lamiales; Lamiaceae.